UAGUGGCGAACGGGUGAGUAACNNCUNCGGCAAUCUGCCCUUCACUCUGGGACAAGCCCUGGNNACGGGGUCUAAUCGCGGAUAAUACCUGCCUGGGCAUCUGGGUGGGUUGAAAGCUCCGGCGGUGAAGGAUGAGCCCGCGGCCUAUCAGCUUGUUGGUGAGGUAGUGGCUCACCAAGGCGACGACGGGUAGCCGGCCUGAGAGGGCGACCGGCCACACUGGGACUGAGACACGGCCCAGACUCCUACGGGAGGCAGCAGUGGGGAAUAUUGCACAAUGGGCGAAAGCCUGAUGCAGCGACGCCGCGUGAGGGAUGACGGCCUUCGGGUUGUAAACCUCUUUCAGCAGGGAAGAAGCGAGAGUGACGGUACCUGCAGAAGAAGCGCCGGCUAACUACGUGCCAGCAGCCGCGGUAAUACGUAGGGCGCAAGCGUUGUCCGGAAUUAUUGGGCGUAAAGAGCUCGUAGGCGGCUUGUCACGUCGGGUGUGAAAGCCCGGGGCUUAACCCCGGGUCUGCAUUCGAUACGGGCUAGCUAGAGUGUGGUAGGGGAGAUCGGAAUUCCU
This 565-nucleotide ribosomal RNA is filed under the name Streptomyces sp. 319H08. Its description in RNAcentral is "bacterial SSU rRNA". It matches the Rfam family "Bacterial small subunit ribosomal RNA", at positions 93 to 671 of the family's 1533-position model. Lineage: Bacteria; Bacillati; Actinomycetota; Actinomycetes; Kitasatosporales; Streptomycetaceae. The record is from RNAcentral.